Molecule: ribosomal RNA, 524 nt
Filed under: uncultured bacterium
Lineage: Bacteria
Description: partial 16S ribosomal RNA
Rfam family: Bacterial small subunit ribosomal RNA
Source: RNAcentral
GACGAACGCUGGCGGCGUGCCUAAUACAUGCAAGUCGAACGAAGCUGUUUUAACUGGUGCUUGCACCGACUUAAACAACUGAGUGGCGAACGGGUGAGUAACACGUGGGUAACCUGCCCCAAAGCGGGGGAUAACAUUUGGAAACAGAUGCUAAUACCGCAUAACCACAGAAACCACAUGGUUUCUGUGUCAAAGAUGGUUUCGGCUACCGCUUUGGGAUGGACCCGCGGCGUAUUAGCUAGUUGGUAAGGUAAUGGCUUACCAAGGCAAUGAUACGUAGCCGAACUGGGAGGUUGAUCGGCCACAUUGGGACUGAGACACGGCCCAAACUCCUACGGGAGGCAGCAGUAGGGAAUCUUCCACAAUGGACGAAAGUCUGAUGGAGCAACGCCGCGUGAGUGAAGAAGGUUUUCGGAUCGUAAAACUCUGUUGUCAGAGAAGAACGUGUGCGAGAGUAACUGCUCGUGCAGUGACGGUAUCUGGCCAGAAAGCCACGGCUAACUACGUGCCAGCCGCCGCAGUAA